GAGGGUAUAGCUCAGGUGGUAGAGCACAUGCUUAGCACGCACAAAGUCCUGGGUUCAAUUCCCAGUACCAUCU
This 73-nucleotide transfer RNA is filed under the name Camelus bactrianus (Bactrian camel). It matches the Rfam family "tRNA". Rfam says of the family: Transfer RNA (tRNA) molecules are approximately 80 nucleotides in length. Their secondary structure includes four short double-helical elements and three loops (D, anti-codon, and T loops). Lineage: Eukaryota; Metazoa; Chordata; Mammalia; Artiodactyla; Camelidae. The record is from Rfam by way of RNAcentral. RNAcentral also lists the same sequence under 2 other names.